Long non-coding RNA from Cyprinus carpio (common carp), 878 nucleotides. Lineage: Eukaryota; Metazoa; Chordata; Actinopteri; Cypriniformes; Cyprinidae. The record is from Ensembl.
UAUAUAUAUAUAUAUAUAUAUAUAUAUAUAUAUAUAUAUAUAUAUAUAUAAACACUUGCUUUUUUUCUUUUGUUUAAUGUCUUAUUUAUUAAUUCACUUUUUUACAUUGUCAGUUUUUGUUUAUUCGUUCAUUUUUCACCCAGCCAUUCCUCUUAUGACCUGCAAACCACCUUGAAACCGGGCAGAAGCCCUCAUCUAUCGCUGUAUUUUCAGUGAUUUUCCCCUCGAGGUGCAUGGGUCAGUACGGCGAGCGUCCUCUGGUGGUCAAACGCAGCACUGUCUGUCUUGAAGUGAAGGGUGACUCCGCGCACUGUAAUCGGAAGUUCCCCUCCAAAACCUUUAGGAAACAACCCUGUCCGAUCUGCACCAAACCUCAUAAUCCUAAAUCCUGGGAAAGUUUUUCAGAGAGUGAGGAGGAGCUGCAUCAGCUGUCAUGGAUGCACAAACAGGAACUGAAGGAUUCACUGGUUGAUAUGUACAAAGAAGACAUGUGUGACCUAUUAAGGUUUUCCUAACCAAAGUGGUUCCCAAAAAAUAACCAACCAGGAAACACGAGGGAAACAUUCUGCUUUUGCCUGGUUCAGUCCGACCCUUUCUCGAAGACGUUCUGCAUUUAUUUGGUUUGUAAAUGUGACACCACAAAGCACCUACAGUUGACAGAACUGAAAUGGUAAGUGUUUACACUUUUAAGCCCCCAGUGUGUAUUGUGUUAAGAAGUUCUUGUCUCAGAAGCUCCACCACUAGAGGGAAGCUCUUCACCACGGCUCCUACCGCCAGCGAUCAACAGGCUCUGCUGUCUGAAUGUCAGCGUUCCUGCUAAUUGCCUCCUGUCUGUUUGUUGCUUGCUUAUGAAUUAGCUUCCGUUCACAGAACUAAAU